This 386-nucleotide unclassified non-coding RNA is filed under the name uncultured fungus. RNAcentral's name for it is "partial internal transcribed spacer 1". The record is from RNAcentral. Lineage: Eukaryota; Fungi.
CGUUAGCUCCGUUAAAGUUUUACCCGAAAUGAAAAAAACUUCCAGUGCCCGGGAAAGUCUUUGCGGAUCAUUUGGAUGAAUUCGCGCGGCGGCAACCGGAUCUAUCUCCUGAAGUUGCUGAUGCAACGCCUCCCAUCCAAGCUCCGCUGCUUGCUGCUCUAUCCGGGAUCUGACUUCCGGAUCUGCUGAAGGCAGCGGCGAUAACCCUUCCAGCAAUGCCUUAAAAUACAGCAUGGUACCGCCCACUAACAGCGGGAUACGCCCCGCAGCGGUGAUCUCCGCCAUUUGCGCUAACGCGUCGCGGCGAAAAUCCGCCGCCGAAUACGCCUGCGACGGGUCGCGUAUAUCCAGCAGUCGAUGCGGCGCCGCUUUCAGCUCAUCGGCAU